GCUACUAUGCCGAAGGGGAAAAGUAAAAAACGCGGCUCCUCUCGUCGAUCCCUGCUCUCACACGCAAGCCUCCUCUCUUCUCUCCCCCCGGCUCGCCGCCACCGCCGCCACCACUCACGACGGCCGAUUCCGGCGAGUACCAGCGGCGGGUGGCAGAUCAACGACCUCCCCACGCCCCGCUCCUUCCUCCCAUCCCUCCUGAUCCGACGGGGGCGGAGGCGGCGCCUCGUCCGACUCCUCCUCCCCGUCCUCAUCCUCCUCAUUCUCUGCCGCCACCGCCUCCUCCUCCAGCGCCCCUCCAGCGGCCGCAGCAACAGCCCCGCCGGCGGCGGCAGGGAGUACAACUUGUUCGGCGUCGUGCCCGUCAGGCCGGCCGCCGGGUACGGGGACGAGGAGGAAGAGGAGGCGAGAGAUUUGUUCGGCUCCGACAACGAGGAGUACUUCAAGACCCCCCGCGUAGCAACUACCUAAUUCCAGCGCGGGAUGCGACAACUCAUCUGGCCGGAGGAGAACAUGGCAGCGGUAUCUCCUGGUGACGGCGGUGGGGCAGGCAAUGCUUCAAGGCGACGGGCUGAGGCGGCGGUGCAGGGAUCCGCUCGGUCUGUUGUUGUUGCUGAGGGCGGAUGGAGCAGCCGGGGCAGGUUCGUCCGUGAUGCCAAGGUAAAUUUCUCUGAAUCUUUCUCCCCCUUGCCCCUGAUCUCUAUCACUCUUUCUCUUUCUGCCCAUCUAUGCAGUAUUGUGUAAGUGUUGUGGUUCCUUUUUUUUAAUAAACCUCUGAUCCUCAAGCGAGCGAGACCAACGGGGAAAGGAACAGGGCGUGGCCUCACAUGGUGGCUUGCCGUCUGCUUCAUUGUUUCAUACCUUUCUCUGUACAAUUUCUUCAGCUUCAGAAACUAUGAACAGGCCUCUACAUCUAUUCUUCAAAUUUUCAGAUCCACCGCUCCUUCUAGCUGUCUACACUGUACCCUGAACCGUUACUGAUAUGCACUUUAAAAAAAGGACAGACCAGUGCAUAGAAGCUCCCACACAAGGUGGGGUCUGGGGAGGGAUUAUAGGAACCUAGUCUUACCCCUGCAAACUGAUAUGCACUUUGUUCAGUUUAUUUUUAGAAGGGAUUUGAGAUGGCGCCCGACAUUAUAGUAAGUACAAGACUGUUGCUGAAUGAGUGGUGUGUGCAACCAGACCUCCGUCCACUUGUUUCAUCGUUUGAACAUUCACCGGUUCUUGAGAAUCUGACGCUUCAAUUGCGUAAGGUACAACUAAGCCUAACUCAUCUGGUUCCUGAACCUCUCCACCAACUUCUUUCAAGGGGAGAUCCUGAAUGUCGGCAUCCUUGGACCUUCGAAAGCAGUUGUAAGCUUAACUCUAGCCUCAUCUCAUUCCACCUUGUGUGUCCUUUAUGAUCUCAGCAGAUGUUAUAAAUAUGAAUGAUUGGUAUCUAUUAGCUUGUACCACAAGUCCACAACUGUAUUGGCUUGUAACACAAGUCCACAACUGUACUGGAUCAGAUUGUGCUCUGGUGCAUUUCAAAUGAUGCAGGUAUGUCGAAAAUCUGGAGCUUUGCAGGCUGCCCAUCCAUAAGGGUUGCCGUGGAAUCCUCGGGUUCCCUCCAGUGCUGCCGCAGAAAAUGAUCUUAUGCUAGAUUGAUUGUUCAAGUAUUUGAUUACUGAUAGGAACAGUCAGCUUAUUUUAUUUUGUAAAAAGACAGGAACAAUAUCCAGUACGAUUGACUUCUUCUGUAACAGCUUCAUUGAGGAGCUCAAAGGUCGUGACUGUGACUGUUCUUAGGCCAAUACUUUCAUUUGUUGUUAUAACAUUUGCAUCAUUCUUCACAAGUUGCGAAAUCAAGCAUGCUAACGGUGGCGAGCGAUUUGAGCGCCAAUGACUCAACAACUGAUUAUCAAUCAGGUUUGUCUAUUUUAUUUUCAUCGGCAAUGCUGCAUCCUUUUUGAGUUGCAAUGAUCAUAUGGUUCAGAUAGACAAUUUAAUCAUUUUUCUUUUCUAUACCAAGUUUAUGCUUCAAUCGAUUAACAAUUAUUUUGAAUCACAAACCUAUUAUUCUUUGGAGUGGCCAAAUGUGUAUCUUUGAAUCUCCAAGUGCCACCGGAGGGCUAUAUAUAUUUCAUUGGUUCAUGGAUCAUUAGGAGGCACAUAAUGGUAGAAAUAAUUAGCUUGCAAGUUCUAUAUUGCCAGAGGAGUCAUAAUUCGUGUAGGGGAGCAAAGCCAUACAUGAUAAGCAAGGGGAACAUGCAACAUACGUAGCCGAGCGUGUCAACACCACAUACAACAGCUAUAUCCAGCAAAUUUUCUUUUGAUUUUGCUUUAUUCUAUUGAUCAGAUUUUCCAAGUCAUUUUUCCUUCGAGGUAUUUAGCAUUGCCAAAUUUAUAUAUUUACCUAAAUUUAAUCUUGACUCGAUUUGCUGUGGUCAAUACAAGCAUGAUGCCUUUUCUUUUCUAUAAAGUGGAUGCAGGGUUAGUUUACUAUGCCGAUCUGAGCGAGCGUCAGGCGCGCAAAGCUCACCGUCCACAUGCCUCCUCUUCGUCUGCAUCCGCAGUGCCAAAUCACUCCCCAUCCGAGCAGCUAUAUCUAAACUUCUUGAUAAUGCAGUAGAUGAGGUUUGCAAUAUCUUCUAACAUCUUCUAUGAACUAGAUAGUGACUAAUUUAAAUUGUGUGAUAAUACUCAAAUGUCUGAAACACGGAGUAUUCUGUUGUAAGCUGAAAAUUUGAAAUUUCACAUUCCUGUUUCUGGAAAUACCAUGCUAUACUGCUAUCUAACACAAUGCUCGGUUGAUCGGUGUUCUAAUAACUUCGUGUAUUAUACUCUGUUGACAAAAACCAUGCUAAACCCUAAAAAACUUGCUAUACUACUAUUGCAUUUAUUUAUUUUGUUGUAUUAAUGUAUUGUAACAGAAAGUAUGUAUCUGCCAAAUGUGCACUGACAAAAGAUGGCAGGAACAAAUGUUUACAGAUCACACGACUACUCCACAAUCUAAAACACUGAGUAUUUUGAAGUUGGUUGUUCAAGCAGACACAAUGUGCACUGACAAAAGAUGGCAGGAACAAUGGUACACAGUCAUGAUAUAAUAACGUUGUAGAUAGAUGGAGACUGAAUUAGUUCACAUUACUUUGAUGUCUAUCGAGCCAAUGGAACAACAAAGGUAGUUCCUUCGCACAAUUUGAAGAAUGUUAUUUCAUAUUGCAUGAUAUGUCUGACUCAUUUCAGUGGGCCUUCAAUUAAUUUGAGGCAUCCUUUCCUAGGAUCUUACCUUGAUAUUCCUGUAUUUUCUCCUAUUCGUCCCAUGCUUUUUUAAGAACUGAAAUAAUUAUAACCAGUGUUACAAAUGUUUGCUGAGGAAAAGUCCUUGCAGAAAAGAAGAACCGGAAGCAGGUUUUCUAUCUUCACCAGUAUUUCCUUGUUUCUAAUUGUUGGCUCUUUCCUAUGGCCUAAGGUUAAGGAUUAAUACUUUUGAUAUCUAAUUUGAGAAAAUAGCUUCAUAGAACGUAAGUAGAAGGUAGACUGUAGCAUUGAUCAUUGAUAUUUUGUACAUAGACAGUUCAACGAACUGCUCUGAAAGGGGAUGUUGAGGGUGACGCCGCCGCCGAGCAAGUCGGCAUCUGUAAAGCUUUGCCGGAGCCAUUCCAGCUCUUUCAGAGCCACAAGGCAAGGAAGCCGAGGAACUAGGACGCCAACAGUGCGGAGCCGUUUGCCAUCGAGAGGACUAGGAUUGCCAUCAGGGACCUCUAAACCAAGCUCAACAUCUCCCUCGCGCCAACAUCCACACCGUGUCCCGGACGGUCGUCGCCGUCUGUGACGGCGAGCUACUGCCGCCGCAUCGUCAGUGCGGAGCCGUUUGCCAUCGAGAGGACUAGGGCUGCCAUCAGGGACCUCUAAACCAAGCUCAACAUCUCCCUCGCGCCAACAUCCACACCAUGUCCCGGAGGUUCGUCGCCGUCUGUGACGGCGAGCUACUGCCGACGCAUCGUCAGCCGCACGGUUAGACGGAGGUAUCGCUGCCAGGGCCGACAUGCGUGUAAUUUCUAUUAAUGUAUCCUAUGUUGCCAAACAGAAACAUGCUCCUAUCGAUGCUAUAUCGUUGUGGGCGUGGCAUUUCAGUUUCUUCCUCAGACGAUGUUCCAAUAUAAUAAGUUCCAUAGAAUUGCAUGUACAUGUCCUGCUAUCUUGAUCCAAAAAGGAAAGUAAAAAAGGGUGUUCAUCUA
This is an RNA transcript of Triticum aestivum (bread wheat), 4220 nucleotides long. RefSeq lists it as uncharacterized. The transcript is spliced from 7 exons. NCBI's taxonomy places the organism in Eukaryota, Viridiplantae, Streptophyta, Magnoliopsida, Poales, Poaceae. The record is from RefSeq and is a predicted model, not a curated record.